AUUGAACGCUGGCGGCAUGCUUUACACAUGCAAGUCGAACGGUAACAGGCCGCAAGGUGCUGACGAGUGGCGAACGGGUGAGUAAUGCAUCGGAACGUGCCCAGUCGUGGGGGAUAACUACUCGAAAGAGUAGCUAAUACCGCAUACGAUCUAUGGAUGAAAGCGGGGGACCGUAAGGCCUCGCGCGAUUGGAGCGGCCGAUGUCAGAUUAGGUAGUUGGUGGGGUAAAGGCUCACCAAGCCAACGAUCUGUAGCUGGUCGGAGAGGACGACCAGCCACACUGGGACUGAGACACGGCCCAGACCCCUACGGGAGGCAGCAGUGGGGAAUUUUGGACAAUGGGCGCAAGCCUGAUCCAGCAAUGCCGCGUGCAGGAAGAAGGCCUUCGGGUUGUAAACUGCUUUUGUACGGAACGAAACGGCUCUGGUUAAUACCCGGGGCUAAUGACGGUACCGUAAGAAUAAGCACCGGCUAACUACGU
This 481-nucleotide ribosomal RNA is filed under the name uncultured bacterium. Its description in RNAcentral is "partial 16S ribosomal RNA". It matches the Rfam family "Bacterial small subunit ribosomal RNA", at positions 30 to 506 of the family's 1533-position model. The record is from RNAcentral.